Non-coding RNA from Camellia sinensis, 1751 nucleotides. Lineage: Eukaryota; Viridiplantae; Streptophyta; Magnoliopsida; Ericales; Theaceae. The record is from RefSeq and is a predicted model, not a curated record.
GUAAUACACCCUAAUCACUUAUGUCUAUUUUUCAUAUUCAAAUCUUUUCAUCUUCUUCUCCAAAUUUCAAUUAUUUGUUUUCAUCUUCUUUCUCAUUCAAAAACUUUAAUCCACCUCAUCAAAAUUCACCAUUAUCACUCCUCAAGGACUGAAUCAUCCUGGAAAGCACAAACUUUGAGACAGUACUUAAAGAUAAUACAUUUGUUUAUCCAAAUAAAUAAAUUUUGAAUAGUGUAUAAACUGCUUAAAAAGAACCGAAAACCACAAAGUUUAAACUGUUAUUACAACUACAUAUUAAAAUAAUUAUUGACGAAUCAACAAUUCAAUGUCGCAGUUUUGACUUGUUCCGAACCAUCCACCAUUACAAAGAUUUUGCAGAAAAUUUGUCCCAUUUAAAAUAGAUUCGUUCGGUUCAGUUUGGCCUCUACCAUAUGCCUUCCAUGGAAGACUUGAUGAAAUUCAUAACAUUAAACCUUCAUUUAUUAUUUUUUUUCCUAUCAUUGACAAAUUUUAAUUUUAUCUUGAGGUAAUUUGUGAAAAAAAUAGUGUGUAUUGAAAGCAAACUAUGAUUCUAAAUAAUUUGAUAGAGAGUACUAAGAAAUUGAACGUACUGAAUAAUUUAUUGGGUGCAAAUAGAAUCUCCCGGUAAUUAUCUCAAAUUUGUUUUCUCAUACCUUUUAAAGCAUGUUGGGCCUAAAGGAACAACAGCAACCCUCAUAUUUCAAUUAAAAGAUGGGUAAAAGUCCAACCUUGAACUUGGCCCAACCCAAUCCAACUUUGAAGUGCUGAGGAUAGCCCUAAUUACCCAACCAAUGCAUACAAAAAAGCCCUAGUCAAUGUCUGCACCUAUGACUAGUAUAUGUACAAGCACUGGACAGUUUAACCCUCAUAGACCCGUUUCAAAUCCCAGACAGGGCAGAACAAGGGCAGAGGAUCAGCAGAUGAAAAGAGUGACCACCAUACACCAGUUAUCUUUAGCGAACUAUUAACAUAUUUUAAUCAAUUUUUUUUCUUUACCAAUACAUCUAAUUGAAUCUCUAAAAUGUGAAGAACAAAAAUUAAAACAUUAAAAACAAGUUUAUUGAAAAUCAAAUAACACUAAAUAACAGCCAAAUAACAAAUUUAAAAAAAUAAAACUAAACAAACCCUAAUCAAGUACUGCUGAGAUAAAAACAUUAUCCUUAUUCUAAAACCCUAAUCAAGUAAAAAUGAAUUUGCCUGAAAAUGGGAGAGAAAGCACAAUGAAGAAACUUAAUUCAACAGUAACAUUACUGACUUAUUGAAGGUAGUUUGUACAAAGAUCUUAUGAAAUACUCUUCAGCUCAGGUCUCCAUGUAUAUCAGCAUGAUUGUUCUCAGGAAAACAAAUGUUUGUAGUGAUCAUCAUAAGAGAUACCAAGAUCUUGAAAGUCUACUUAAUAAUAAAGAGAACAACCAAAGACUAUCGUAUCCAAAAACCCAAAAUCAUAUGAAAACAUAUUGAUAAACUUUAAUAAAACCAUGAAGAUUCAAUGAGGAAAUUUUUGAAUUUCUUAACUUUACUAAAACUUAUUAGCAAACAAGCAGAGGGUUAGUUCGAAAAUUUUAAAACAAUCAAAAUGAUGCAUUAAAAGAUCUUUCUCAAGCCUCUUCAGUUCAGGUCUCCAUAAAUUUUCAGCAUGAAAUUUCUCAGCAGAACGAAAGUUUCUUUUCAUCAUCAUCAGAAGCACAAGCAAUUAAUCAACAGACCAAAAAGCAUUAAAAAACAAAAAA